UCAGGCCUAACACAUGCAAGUCGAACGGACUACUUCGGUAGUUAGUGGCGAACGGGUGAGUAAUGCCUAGGAAUCUGCCAUUUAGUGGGGGAUAACGUUCCGAAAGGAACGCUAAUACCGCAUACGUCCUACGGGAGAAAGAGGGGGAUCUUCGGACCUCUUGCUAAAUGAUGAGCCUAGGUCAGAUUAGCUAGUUGGUGAGGUAAAGGCUCACCAAGGCGACGAUCUGUAGCGGGUCUGAGAGGAUGAUCCGCCACACUGGAACUGAGACACGGUCCAGACUCCUACGGGAGGCAGCAGUGGGGAAUAUUGGACAAUGGGCGCAAGCCUGAUCCAGCCAUGCCGCGUGUGUGAAGAAGGCCUUUUGGUUGAAAGCACAUGAGCGAGGAGGAGGGUACUCUAGUUAAUACCUAGAUGUAUCGGA
RNAcentral lists this ribosomal RNA (424 nucleotides) under uncultured bacterium. RNAcentral's name for it is "bacterial SSU rRNA". It matches the Rfam family "Bacterial small subunit ribosomal RNA", at positions 42 to 476 of the family's 1533-position model. The record is from RNAcentral.